RNAcentral lists this ribosomal RNA (378 nucleotides) under uncultured organism. RNAcentral describes it as "partial 16S ribosomal RNA". It matches the Rfam family "Bacterial small subunit ribosomal RNA", at positions 527 to 896 of the family's 1533-position model. The record is from RNAcentral.
GUAGGGGGCGAACGUUUGUCCGGAUUUAUUGGGCGUAAAGGGCUCGUAGGCGGUUCAACAAGUCGGCCGUGAAAACCCGGGGCUCAACCCCGGGACGCCGGUCGAAACUGUUGUGACUAGGGUCCGGUAGAGGUCACUGGAAUUCUCGGUGUAGCGGUGAAAUGCGCAGAUAUCGAGAGGAACACCAGUAGCGAAGGCGGGUGACUGGGCCGGUACCGACGCUGAGGAGCGAAAGCGUGGGGAGCAAACAGGAUUAGAUACCCUGGUAGUCCACGCCGUAAACGUUGAACACUAGGUGUGGGGGAUUUAUCCACGUCCUCCGUGCCCGCAGCUAACGCAUUAAGUGUUCCCGCCUGGGGGAGUACGGCCGCAAGGCUA